This 346-nucleotide RNase P RNA is filed under the name Oscillospiraceae bacterium. RNAcentral describes it as "RNase P RNA component class A". It matches the Rfam family "Bacterial RNase P class A". Rfam says of the family: Ribonuclease P (RNase P) is a ubiquitous endoribonuclease, found in archaea, bacteria and eukarya as well as chloroplasts and mitochondria. Its best characterised activity is the generation of mature 5'-ends of tRNAs by cleaving the 5'-leader elements of precursor-tRNAs. The record is from RNAcentral. Lineage: Bacteria; Bacillati; Bacillota; Clostridia; Eubacteriales; Oscillospiraceae.
AGAGCAGAUUGAGCAGUCGCGGGUAAAGUUCCGAAAGGACUUAUCCGAGGAAAGUCCGAGCUCCAUAGAGCAAGAAUAACGGCUAACGGCCGCCGGGGGCGACCCCAGGGACAGUGCAACAGAAAUAAACCGCCUGAAAAGGUAAGGAUGGAAAGGUGAGGUAAGAGCUCACCGGAGGUGGGGAGACUCACCUGCCGUGUAAACCCUAUUCGGAGCAACACCGUGGAAAGGACGUAUACGCUUGCUCGGCGUGUCCGAUGGAGGUGGCAUCGAGCAGCGGUGGCAACACCCUGCCAAGAUAGAUGACUGCUUUUAACAGAACUCGGCUUAUAGAUUUGGUCUGUAU